GCUGGUGUGGUGGCUCACACCUGUCAUCCCAACAUUUUUGGGAGGCUGAGGCAGGAGAAUCACUUGAGCCCAGGAGUUCAAGACCAACCUUAGCCAACAUAGUGCGAUUGUGUCUCUAUAAACAAUUUAAAAUUUAGCUGGGUGUGCUGGUGCAUGCCUGUAGUCCCAGCUACUCAAAGGGAGGGCAGAAGGAUGGCUUGAGCCUGGAAGGUCCAGGUUGCAGUGAGCCAGGAUUAUACCACUGUACUCCAGCCUGGGCAACGUAGUGAGACCCUGUCUCU
Colobus angolensis palliatus is the source of this 281-nucleotide unclassified non-coding RNA. It matches the Rfam family "Metazoan signal recognition particle RNA". Rfam says of the family: The signal recognition particle (SRP) is a universally conserved ribonucleoprotein. It is involved in the co-translational targeting of proteins to membranes. The eukaryotic SRP consists of a 300-nucleotide 7S RNA and six proteins: SRPs 72, 68, 54, 19, 14, and 9. The record is from Ensembl. NCBI's taxonomy places the organism in Eukaryota, Metazoa, Chordata, Mammalia, Primates, Cercopithecidae.